AGGCUUUGAUCCUGGCUCAGGAUGAACGCUGGCGGCGUGCUUAACACAUGCAAGUCGAACGGGGUCCUUCGGGACUUAGUGGCGGACGGGUGAGUAACACGUGAGAAUCUACCCUUAGGUUGGGGACAACAGUUGGAAACGGCUGCUAAUACCCAAUGUGCCGGAAGGUGAAAGGUUUACUGCCUGAGGAUGAGCUCGCGUCUGAUUAGCUAGUUGGUGGGGUAAGGGCCUACCAAGGCGACGAUCAGUAGCUGGUCUGAGAGGAUGAUCAGCCACACUGGGACUGAGACACGGCCCAGACUCCUACGGGAGGCAGCAGUGGGGAAUUUUCCGCAAUGGGCGAAAGCCUGACGGAGCAACGCCGCGUGUGGGAGGAAGGCCUUUGGGUUGUAAACCACUUUUCUCUGGGAAGAAGACCUGACGGUACCUGAGGAAUAAGCCUCGGCGUAUAUCCGUG
RNAcentral lists this ribosomal RNA (457 nucleotides) under uncultured Spirulina sp. RNAcentral describes it as "bacterial SSU rRNA". It matches the Rfam family "Bacterial small subunit ribosomal RNA", at positions 8 to 507 of the family's 1533-position model. Lineage: Bacteria; Bacillati; Cyanobacteriota; Cyanophyceae; Spirulinales; Spirulinaceae. The record is from RNAcentral.